This 214-nucleotide ribosomal RNA is filed under the name uncultured bacterium. RNAcentral describes it as "partial 16S ribosomal RNA". It matches the Rfam family "Bacterial small subunit ribosomal RNA", at positions 524 to 737 of the family's 1533-position model. The record is from RNAcentral.
UACGAAGGGGGGCUAGCGUUGCUCGGAAUUACUGGGCGUAAAGUGUGCGCAGGCGGCGCCGCAAGUCGAGUGUGAAAGCCCCGGGCUUAACUUGGGAAUGCGCUCGAAACUAUGGUGCUGGAGUGUGGCAGAGGAAGGUGGAAUUCCACGUGUAGCGGUGAAAUGCGUAGAGAUGUGGAGGAACACCGAUGGCGAAGGCAGCCUUCUGGGCCAA